UGUCCCGGAUGGCGCAGUGGUUAACGCAUCUGUCUGGUAAGCAGGCGAUCCCGGGUUCGAAUCCCGGUCCGAUAC
Schistocerca nitens (vagrant locust) is the source of this 75-nucleotide non-coding RNA. NCBI's taxonomy places the organism in Eukaryota, Metazoa, Arthropoda, Insecta, Orthoptera, Acrididae. The record is from the annotation of a RefSeq genome assembly.